ACUGCUCAGUAACACGUGGAUAACCUGCCCUUGGGUCCGGCAUAACCCCGGGAAACUGGGGAUAAUUCCGGAUAACGCACAUAUGCUGGAAUGCUUUAUGCGUAAAAUGGAUUCGUCUGCCCAAGGAUGGGUCUGCGGCCUAUCAGGUAGUAGUGGGUGUAAUGUACCUACUAGCCAACAACGGGUACGGGUUGUGAGAGCAAGAGCCCGGAGAUGGAUUCUGAGACAUGAAUCCAGGCCCUACGGGGCGCAGCAGGCGCGAAAACUUUACAAUGCGGGAAACCGUGAUAAGGGGACACCGAGUGCCAGCAUCAUAUGCUGGCUGUCCAGGUGUGUAAAAUACACCUGUUAUCAAGGGCCGGGCAAGACCGGUGCCAGCCGCCGCGGUAACACCGGCGGCCCGAGUGGUGAUCGUGAUUAUUGGGUCUAAAGGGUCCGUAGCCGGUUUGGUCAGUCCUCCGGGAAAUCUGAUAGCUCAACUAUUAGGCUUUCGGGGGAUACUGCCAGGCUUGGAACCGGGAGAGGUAAGAGGUACUACAGGGGUAGGAGUGAAAUCUUGUAAUCCCUGUGGGACCACCUGUGGCGAAGGCGUCUUACCAGAACGGGUUCGACGGUGAGGGACGAAAGCUGGGGGCACGAACCGGAUUAGAUACCCGGGUAGUCCCAGCCGUAAACGAUGCUCGCUAGGUGUCAGGCAUGGCGCGACCGUGUCUGGUGCCGCAGGGAAGCCGUGAAGCGAGCCACCUGGGAAGUACGGCCGCAAGGCUGAAACUUAAAGGAAUUGGCGGGGGAGCAC
Molecule: ribosomal RNA, 796 nt
Filed under: uncultured Methanosarcinaceae archaeon
Lineage: Archaea; Methanobacteriati; Methanobacteriota; Methanomicrobia; Methanosarcinales; Methanosarcinaceae
Description: bacterial SSU rRNA
Rfam family: Archaeal small subunit ribosomal RNA
Source: RNAcentral